RNAcentral lists this ribosomal RNA (507 nucleotides) under uncultured bacterium. Its description in RNAcentral is "partial 16S ribosomal RNA". It matches the Rfam family "Bacterial small subunit ribosomal RNA", at positions 28 to 507 of the family's 1533-position model. The record is from RNAcentral.
GACGAACGCUGGCGGCGUGCUUAACACAUGCAAGUCGAACGGGCCUUGUCCCCUUUUUUUUGGGGGUGGGGUUAGUGGCGAACGGGUGAGUAACACGUGAGUAACCUGCCCCUCACUUCUGGAUAACCGCUUGAAAGGGUGGCUAAUACGGGGUGUUCUGGCCUGCUCGCAUGGGUGGGUUUGGAAAGAUUCGGCCGGUUUUGGUUGUUUUGGUGGGGGAUGGGCUCGCGGCCUAUCAGCUUGUUGGUGGGGUGAUGGCCUGCCAAGGCUUUGACGGGUAGCCGGCCUGAGAGGGUGGGCGGUCACACUGGGACUGAGACACGGCCCAGACUCCUACGGGAGGCAGCAGUGGGGAAUAUUGCACAAUGGGCGCAAGCCUGAUGCAGCGACGCCGCGUGAGGGAUGGAGGCCUUCGGGUUGUGAACCUCUUUCGCCAGUGAAGAAGGUCCUGCUCUUUGUGGUGGGGUUGACGGUAGCUGGGUUAAUGAAGCGCCGGCUAACUACGUG